UUCUGCACUCUGUGCUCUUUCUCCUCUCUCUCAGUUCUGCACUCUGUGCUCUUUCACUCCUCUCUCAGUUCUGCACUCUGUGCUCUUUCACUCCUCUCUCAGUUCUGCACUCUGUGCUAUUUUCCCUUCUCUCACUGUUUGGCUCUCUUUGCUCCUGACCUUUCUCUUCCAGUUCUGAACUCUGUGCUCUGUGCCUCUUUUUCCUAGAUCUGUACUCUGUGCCCUUUGCCUUUCAGUCUUAAUUCUGCACUCUGUUGUUUCUCUGUUUGUUUUCUGCUCUGUGCU
Molecule: long non-coding RNA, 285 nt
Filed under: Lepisosteus oculatus (spotted gar)
Lineage: Eukaryota; Metazoa; Chordata; Actinopteri; Semionotiformes; Lepisosteidae
Description: lncRNA (ENSLOCG00000021612.1)
Source: RNAcentral